This 263-nucleotide unclassified non-coding RNA is filed under the name plant metagenome. RNAcentral describes it as "partial contains small subunit ribosomal RNA, internal transcribed spacer 1, and 5.8S ribosomal RNA". The record is from RNAcentral.
UUUCCGUAGGUGAACCUGCGGAAGGAUCAUUAUUGUAUAACCGAGGUGCGAGGGCUGUCGCUGACCCGAAACGUCGUGCACGCCCGAGUGCCCUCACACACAUCCAUCUCACCCCUAUGUGCACCACCGCGUGGAUCCCCCUUUGGCUUGUUCGGAGGGGGGCUUACGUUUUCACACAAACUUUGUAUGCAGUGUAGAAUGUAUUGUUUGUUUUUGCGAUCACGCAAUCAAUACAACUUUCAACAACGGAUCUCUUGGCUCUC